GACGAACGCUGGCGGCGUGCUUAACACAUGCAAGUCGAACGGAAAGGCCCUGCUUGCAGGGUACUCGAGUGGCGAACGGGUGAGUAACACGUGGGUGAUCUGCCCUGCACUUCUUGAUAAGCCUGGGAAACUGGGUCUAAUACCUGAUAGGAGCCAUUUUUAGUGUGAUGGUUGGAAAGUUUUUUCGGUGUAGGAUGAGCUCACGGCCUAUCAGCUUGUUGGUGGGGUAAUGGCCUACCAAGGCGGCGACGGGUAGCCGGACUGUGAGAGUGGAAGGCCACAUUGGGACUGAGAUAAGGCCCAGACUGCUACGGGAGGCAGCAGUGGGGAAUAUUGCACCAGGGGCGCAAGCCUGAUGAAGCGACGCCGCGUGGGGGAUGACGGCCUUCGGGUUGUAAAAUACUUUCGCUAGGGAAGAAGCUUUUUGUGACGGUACCUAGAUAAGAAGCACCGGCUAACUACGUG
RNAcentral lists this ribosomal RNA (465 nucleotides) under uncultured bacterium. Its description in RNAcentral is "partial 16S ribosomal RNA". It matches the Rfam family "Bacterial small subunit ribosomal RNA", at positions 28 to 507 of the family's 1533-position model. The record is from RNAcentral.